CCUACGGGAGGCAGCAGUGAGGAAUUUUCCGCAAUGGGCGAAAGCCUGACGGAGCAAUACCGCGCGAGGGAUGAAGGAUUUUGGUCUGUAAACCUCUUUUCUCAAGAAAGAAGUUCUGACGGUACUUGAGGAAUAAGCAUCGGCUAACUCCGUGCCAGCAGCCGCGGUAAUACGGGGGAUGCAAGCGUUAUCCGGAAUGAUUGGGCGUAAAGCGCCUGUAGGUUGUUUAUUAAGUCCGUUGUUAAAGCCUAGGGCUUAACCCUAGAAAAGCAAUGGAAACUAGUAGACUAGAGUAUGGCAGGGGUAGAGGGAAUUUCUAGUGUAGCGGUGAAAUGCGUAGAUAUUAGAAAGAACACCGGUGGCGAAAGCGCUCUACUGGACCAUUACUGACACUCAGAGGCGAAAGCUAGGGUAGCAAAAGGGAUUAGAUACCCCUGUAGUCCUAGCCGUAAACGAUAGAUACUAGAUGUUGUGCAUUAUGUACAGUAUCGUAGCUAACGCGUUAAGUAUCCCGCCUGGGGAGUACGCUCGCAAGGGUGAAACUCAAAUGAAUUGACGG
Molecule: ribosomal RNA, 559 nt
Filed under: uncultured bacterium
Lineage: Bacteria
Description: bacterial SSU rRNA
Rfam family: Bacterial small subunit ribosomal RNA
Source: RNAcentral